AUUGAACGCUGGCGGCAGGCUUAACACAUGCAAGUCGAACGAGUGGCGGACGGGUGAGUAAUGUCUGGGGAUCUGCCUGAUAGAGGGGGAUAACUACUGGAAACGGUGGCUAAUACCGCAUACUAUCAGAUGAACCCAUAUGGGAUUAGCUAGUCGGUGGGGUAAAGGCUCACCUAGGCGACGAUCCCUAGCUGGUCUGAGAGGAUGAUCAGCCACACUGGGACUGAGACACGGUCCAGACUCCUACGGGAGGCAGCAGUGGGGAAUAUUGCACAAUGGGCGCAAGCCUGAUGCAGCCAUGCCGCGUGUAUGAAGAAGGCCUUAGGGUUGUAAAGUACUUUCAGCGGGGAGGCGUUACCCGCAGAAGAAGCACCGGCUAACUCCGUGCCAGCAGCCGCGGUAAUUC
This 406-nucleotide ribosomal RNA is filed under the name uncultured bacterium. Its description in RNAcentral is "partial 16S ribosomal RNA". It matches the Rfam family "Bacterial small subunit ribosomal RNA", at positions 30 to 526 of the family's 1533-position model. The record is from RNAcentral.